CUACGGGAGGCUGCAGUGAGGAAUAUUGGUCAAUGGGCGAGAGCCUGAACCAGCCAAAUCGCGUGCAGGAUGACUGCCUUAUGGGUUGUAAACUGCUUUUAUAAAGGAAUAACAACUGCUACGUGUAGCAGGAUGAAUGUACUUUAAGAAUAAGGAUCGGCUAACUCCGUGCCAGCAGCCGCGGUAAUACGGAGGAUCCAAGCGUUAUCCGGAUUUAUUGGGUUUAAAGGGUGCGUAGGCGGUAGGUUAAGUCAGUGGUGAAAGUUUGCAGCUCAACUGUAAAAUUGCCAUUGAAACUGGCUUACUUGAGUAUGGUAGAGGUAAGCGGAAUGCGUUGUGUAGCGGUGAAAUGCUUAGAUAUAACGCAGAACCCCAAUUGCGAAGGCAGCUUGCUGGACCAUUACUGACGCUGAGGCACGAAAGCGUGGGGAUCAAACAGGAUUAGAUACCCCUGUAGUC
RNAcentral lists this ribosomal RNA (459 nucleotides) under uncultured bacterium. RNAcentral describes it as "partial 16S ribosomal RNA". It matches the Rfam family "Bacterial small subunit ribosomal RNA", at positions 339 to 795 of the family's 1533-position model. The record is from RNAcentral.